AGUGAACGCUGGCGGUAGGCCUAACACAUGCAAGUCGAACGGCAGCACAGUAAGAGCUUGCUCUUACGGGUGGCGAGUGGCGGACGGGUGAGGAAUACAUCGGAAUCUACUUUUUCGUGGGGGAUAACGUAGGGAAACUUACGCUAAUACCGCAUACGACCUACGGGUGAAAGCAGGGGAUCUUCGGACCUUGCGCGAUUGAAUGAGCCGAUGUCGGAUUAGCUAGUUGGCGGGGUAAAGGCCCACCAAGGCGACGAUCCGUAGCUGGUCUGAGAGGAUGAUCAGCCACACUGGGACUGAGACACGGUCCAGACUCCUACGGGAGGCAGCAGUGGGGAAUAUUGGACAAUGGGCGCAAGCCUGAUCCAGCUAUACCGCGUGGGUGAAGAAGGCCUUCGGGUUGUAAAGCCCUUUUGUUGGGAAAGAAAAGCAGCAGGUUAAUACCCCGCUGUUCUGACGGUACCCAAAGAAUAAGCACCGGCUAACUUCGUG
This 492-nucleotide ribosomal RNA is filed under the name uncultured bacterium. RNAcentral's name for it is "partial 16S ribosomal RNA". It matches the Rfam family "Bacterial small subunit ribosomal RNA", at positions 29 to 507 of the family's 1533-position model. The record is from RNAcentral.